CAACCCUCAAGCUUUUGCUUGGUGUUGGGUGGUCAGUCCUUUAGGACUCACCCGAAAAGCAGCGGCGAUUCAGCCAGACUUUGGGCGCAGUAAAUUUUACCAUUCGCUUUGAAGUUUCUGGGUGGCAUUUGCCGGACAACCCAUAUAAUUUUUCUAU
This 157-nucleotide unclassified non-coding RNA is filed under the name uncultured Ascomycota. Its description in RNAcentral is "sequence contains ITS2". Lineage: Eukaryota; Fungi; Ascomycota. The record is from RNAcentral.